Molecule: long non-coding RNA, 613 nt
Filed under: Mytilus galloprovincialis (Mediterranean mussel)
Lineage: Eukaryota; Metazoa; Mollusca; Bivalvia; Mytilida; Mytilidae
Source: RNAcentral
AAUAAAUUAUUAAUUUUAAAAAUAGUUUGUUUAUCAGUCAAAUUAUAUACUGUUCAUAUUGAAUUCUAAAAGCAAGUAAAAACUCCGUUAUAGCUUAAGGUCAAGUUACAAUAUAUGAAUGGGCUAUGUCACAGAUUUUCUUAAAAUUUUGCAUACACCUUUGACUUACUGAAUUGUGUCUGAAAAUCGAAAAAAAAUCUGCGGUUUUAUCUCUUUUUUCCCUGCCUUAUGAGACUUAUACUAAAGGAAGGGGUACUGAUACUUGUAAAUAAUUGAACAAAUUAAUAGAUAAAUAAGCAUUAUUACCUGUAUUUUCCCUAAAACAUUACUGAUUGAAUACUUUCAAAAUAUGUGCCUUAUGAUAACAUUAAGAAUGGAAAUGGGGAAUGUGUCAAGGAGACAACAUACUAAGACUUACGGAAGGGGUACUGAUACUUAUAAAUAAUUGAACAAAUUAAUAAAUAAAUAAGCAUUAUUACCUGUAUUUUACCUGAGUUUACCUGAGUUUACCUGCCAAAAAAAUUCGCGCAAAUGUAAUCGAAAGCUGCGCGCAAACGUAAUGAUUUUUGCGCGCAAAUGUAAUGGUAAUGCGCGCAAACGUAAUGCACCGCCU